GACGAACGCUGGCGGCGUGCUUAACACAUGCAAGUCGAACGGUGAAGCGCCUUCCUUUUUGGUGGGUGUGGAUGAGUGGCGAACGGAUGAGUAACACGUGAGUAACCUGCCCCCUUCUUCUGGAUAACCGCAUGAAAGUGUGGCUAAUACGGGAUAUUCUGGGUCUGUCGCAUGAUGGGUCUGGGAAAGAUAUUGUUUCGGUGGGGGAUGGGCUCGCGGCCUAUCAGCUUGUUGGUGGGGUGAUGGCCUACCAAGGCGGUGACGGGUAGCCGGCCUGAGAGGGUGGACGGUCACACUGGGACUGAGACACGGCCCAGACUCCUACGGGAGGCAGCAGUGGGGAAUAUUGCACAAUGGGCGCAAGCCUGAUGCAGCGACGCCGCGUGAGGGAUGGAGGCCUUCGGGUUGUGAACCUCUUUCGCCAGUGAAGCAGGCCUGCCUCGUUUGUGGGUGGGUUGACGGUAGCUGGAGAAGAAGCGCCGGCUAACUACGUG
RNAcentral lists this ribosomal RNA (494 nucleotides) under uncultured bacterium. RNAcentral describes it as "partial 16S ribosomal RNA". It matches the Rfam family "Bacterial small subunit ribosomal RNA", at positions 28 to 507 of the family's 1533-position model. The record is from RNAcentral.